RNAcentral lists this ribosomal RNA (2068 nucleotides) under human gut metagenome. RNAcentral's name for it is "bacterial LSU rRNA". It matches the Rfam family "Bacterial large subunit ribosomal RNA", at positions 842 to 2925 of the family's 2925-position model. The record is from RNAcentral.
GAGAUAGCUGGUUCUCCCCGAAAUAGCUUUAGGGCUAGCGUCGGAAAGAACCUUAGUGAAGGUAGAGCACUGAAUGUGUGAUGGCCCCAUCCCGGGGUACUGAAUACAAUCAAACUGCGAAUGUCAUUAAGGAUGUCCGGCAGUCAGACUGUGAGUGAUAAGGUCCAUGGUCAAGAGGGAAACAGCCCAGACCGCCAGUUAAGGUCCCAAAAUACAGGCUAAGUGGAAAAGGAUGUGGGGAUGCCCAGACAACUAGGAGGUUGGCUCAGAAGCAGCCAUCCUUUAAAGAGUGCGUAACAGCUCACUAGUCGAGUGACCCUGCGCCGAAAAUGUACCGGGGCUAAGCCUGAUACCGAAACUGCGGAUUGUAGGAAACUAUAGUGGUAGGGGAGCGUUGUAUACGAGUAGAAGCCGUACCGUGAGGAGCGGUGGAUUGUAUAGAAGUGAGAAUGCCGGUGUGAGUAGCGAGAUGUAGGUGAGAAUCCUACACACCGAAAGCCCAAGGAUUCCAGGGGAAGGUUCGUCCGCCCUGGGUAAGUCGGGACCUAACGCGAGGCCGAAAGGCGUAGUGGAUGGAAAGCAGGCGAAAGAUUCCUGCACCCGUAUAUGGAGCGAAGGAGUGACGGAGACGGAUAGUGUGACCCUCUUAAUGGAUUGAGGGCGAAGCGAAGCGGCUGGUUACCAGGCAAAUCCGGUAACUGAAAGGCUAGAGCGUGACAGGUAAGCGAAAUCUAAGGAAAGUAGCGAAGCACAUGAUGACGGCUUCCAGGAAAAGCUUCUGGCAAUGCAUAUGCGGCCCGUACCAAAACCGACACAGGUGGGCAGGGAGAGAAUCCCGAGGUGAGCGAGAGAACUGUUGCCAAGGAACUCGGCAAAAUGACUCCGUAAGUUAGCGAGAAGGAGUGCUUAAGCAAUUAAGCCGCAGUGAAGAGGCCCAAGCGACUGUUUAACUAAAACACAGCUCUCUGCGAAGUCGCAAGACGAAGUAUAGGGGGUGACACCUGCCCGGUGCUGGAAGGUUAAGAGGAUCUGUUAAGAGCGAUCUGAAGCAGUGAUCCGAAGCCCCAGUGAACGGCGGCCGUAACUAUAACGGUCCUAAGGUAGCGAAAUUCCUUGUCAGGUAAGUUCUGACCCGCACGAAAGGUGUAACGAUUUGGGCGCUGUCUCGGCAGCAGACUCGGUGAAAUCUUAGUACCUGUGAAAAUGCAGGUUACCCGCAACUAGACGGAAAGACCCCAUGGAGCUUUACUGCAGCCUGAUAUUGAAUUCUGGUCAUACAUGUACAGGAUAGGUGGGAGACAAAGAGACGUGCACGCCAGUGUACGAGGAGUCGCCGUUGGGAUACCACUCUUGUGUGACCGGGGUUCUAACCUGGUAUCGAGAACAGGUACGGGGAGAGUGUCAGGUGGGCAGUUUGACUGGGGCGGUCGCCUCCCAAAGAGUAACGGAGGCGCCCAAAGGUACGCUCAGAUUGGAUGGAAACCAAUCGGCGAGUGCAAUUGCAGAAGCGUGCUUGACUGUGAGACUUACAAGUCGAACAGGGACGAAAGUCGGGAAUAGUGAUCCGGCGGUGCCGAAUGGAAGGGCCGUCGCUCAACGGAUAAAAGCUACCCUGGGGAUAACAGGCUGAUCUCGCCCAAGAGUUCACAUCGACGGCGAGGUUUGGCACCUCGAUGUCGGCUCAUCGCAUCCUGGAGCUGGAUUCGGUUCCAAGGGUUGGGCUGUCCGCCCAUUAAAGCGGUACGCGAGCUGGGUUCAGAACGUCGUGAGACAGUUCGGUCCCUAUCUGUUGUGGGCGAAGGAGAUCUGCGGAGAGCUGUCCUCAGUACGAGAGGACCGGGAUGGACCUACCGCUGGUGCACCGGUUGUUCCGCCAGGGGCAUAGCCGGGUAGCUAAGUAGGGAAAGGAUAAGCGCUGAAAGCAUCUAAGCACGAAGCCUACUCCAAGAUGAGAUCUCCCAUUCGCAAGAAGUAAGACCCCUUAAAGACGAUAAGGUAGAUAGGCCAGGGAUGGAAGUGCAGUGAUGUACGGAGUUGACUGGUACUAAUCGGUCGAGGACUUAAUCAG